Bos grunniens (domestic yak) is the source of this 107-nucleotide small nuclear RNA. Lineage: Eukaryota; Metazoa; Chordata; Mammalia; Artiodactyla; Bovidae. The record is from Ensembl.
GUGCUCACUUUGGCAGCACAUAUGCUAAAAUCGGAAUGAUACAGAGAAGAUUAGCCUGGCCCCUGCGCAAAGAUGACAUGGAAAUUCUUGAAGUAUCCCAUAUUUUG